RNAcentral lists this ribosomal RNA (2772 nucleotides) under Escherichia coli. Its description in RNAcentral is "bacterial LSU rRNA". It matches the Rfam family "Bacterial large subunit ribosomal RNA". Lineage: Bacteria; Pseudomonadati; Pseudomonadota; Gammaproteobacteria; Enterobacterales; Enterobacteriaceae. The record is from RNAcentral.
AGCGUACACGGUGGAUGCCCUGGCAGUCAGAGGCGAUGAAGGACGUGCUAAUCUGCGAUAAGCGUCGGUAAGGUGAUAUGAACCGUUAUAACCGGCGAUUUCCGAAUGGGGAAACCCAGUGUGUUUCGACACACUAUCAUUAACUGAAUCCAUAGGUUAAUGAGGCGAACCGGGGGAACUGAAACAUCUAAGUACCCCGAGGAAAAGAAAUCAACCGAGAUUCCCCCAGUAGCGGCGAGCGAACGGGGAGCAGCCCAGAGCCUGAAUCAGUGUGUGUGUUAGUGGAAGCGUCUGGAAAGGCGCGCGAUACAGGGUGACAGCCCCGUACACAAAAAUGCACAUGCUGUGAGCUCGAUGAGUAGGGCGGGACACGUGGUAUCCUGUCUGAAUAUGGGGGGACCAUCCUCCAAGGCUAAAUACUCCUGACUGACCGAUAGUGAACCAGUACCGUGAGGGAAAGGCGAAAAGAACCCCGGCGAGGGGAGUGAAAAAGAACCUGAAACCGUGUACGUACAAGCAGUGGGAGCACGCUUAGGCGUGUGACUGCGUACCUUUUGUAUAAUGGGUCAGCGACUUAUAUUCUGUAGCAAGGUUAACCGAAUAGGGGAGCCGAAGGGAAACCGAGUCUUAACUGGGCGUUAAGUUGCAGGGUAUAGACCCGAAACCCGGUGAUCUAGCCAUGGGCAGGUUGAAGGUUGGGUAACACUAACUGGAGGACCGAACCGACUAAUGUUGAAAAAUUAGCGGAUGACUUGUGGCUGGGGGUGAAAGGCCAAUCAAACCGGGAGAUAGCUGGUUCUCCCCGAAAGCUAUUUAGGUAGCGCCUCGUGAAUUCAUCUCCGGGGGUAGAGCACUGUUUCGGCAAGGGGGUCAUCCCGACUUACCAACCCGAUGCAAACUGCGAAUACCGGAGAAUGUUAUCACGGGAGACACACGGCGGGUGCUAACGUCCGUCGUGAAGAGGGAAACAACCCAGACCGCCAGCUAAGGUCCCAAAGUCAUGGUUAAGUGGGAAACGAUGUGGGAAGGCCCAGACAGCCAGGAUGUUGGCUUAGAAGCAGCCAUCAUUUAAAGAAAGCGUAAUAGCUCACUGGUCGAGUCGGCCUGCGCGGAAGAUGUAACGGGGCUAAACCAUGCACCGAAGCUGCGGCAGCGACACUAUGUGUUGUUGGGUAGGGGAGCGUUCUGUAAGCCUGUGAAGGUGUGCUGUGAGGCAUGCUGGAGGUAUCAGAAGUGCGAAUGCUGACAUAAGUAACGAUAAAGCGGGUGAAAAGCCCGCUCGCCGGAAGACCAAGGGUUCCUGUCCAACGUUAAUCGGGGCAGGGUGAGUCGACCCCUAAGGCGAGGCCGAAAGGCGUAGUCGAUGGGAAACAGGUUAAUAUUCCUGUACUUGGUGUUACUGCGAAGGGGGGACGGAGAAGGCUAUGUUGGCCGGGCGACGGUUGUCCCGGUUUAAGCGUGUAGGCUGGUUUUCCAGGCAAAUCCGGAAAAUCAAGGCUGAGGCGUGAUGACGAGGCACUACGGUGCUGAAGCAACAAAUGCCCUGCUUCCAGGAAAAGCCUCUAAGCAUCAGGUAACAUCAAAUCGUACCCCAAACCGACACAGGUGGUCAGGUAGAGAAUACCAAGGCGCUUGAGAGAACUCGGGUGAAGGAACUAGGCAAAAUGGUGCCGUAACUUCGGGAGAAGGCACGCUGAUAUGUAGGUGAGGUCCCUCGCGGAUGGAGCUGAAAUCAGUCGAAGAUACCAGCUGGCUGCAACUGUUUAUUAAAAACACAGCACUGUGCAAACACGAAAGUGGACGUAUACGGUGUGACGCCUGCCCGGUGCCGGAAGGUUAAUUGAUGGGGUCAGCGCAAGCGAAGCUCUUGAUCGAAGCCCCGGUAAACGGCGGCCGUAACUAUAACGGUCCUAAGGUAGCGAAAUUCCUUGUCGGGUAAGUUCCGACCUGCACGAAUGGCGUAAUGAUGGCCAGGCUGUCUCCACCCGAGACUCAGUGAAAUUGAACUCGCUGUGAAGAUGCAGUGUACCCGCGGCAAGACGGAAAGACCCCGUGAACCUUUACUAUAGCUUGACACUGAACAUUGAGCCUUGAUGUGUAGGAUAGGUGGGAGGCUUAGAAGUGUGGACGCCAGUCUGCAUGGAGCCGACCUUGAAAUACCACCCUUUAAUGUUUGAUGUUCUAACGUUGACCCGUAAUCCGGGUUGCGGACAGUGUCUGGUGGGUAGUUUGACUGGGGCGGUCUCCUCCUAAAGAGUAACGGAGGAGCACGAAGGUUGGCUAAUCCUGGUCGGACAUCAGGAGGUUAGUGCAAUGGCAUAAGCCAGCUUGACUGCGAGCGUGACGGCGCGAGCAGGUGCGAAAGCAGGUCAUAGUGAUCCGGUGGUUCUGAAUGGAAGGGCCAUCGCUCAACGGAUAAAAGGUACUCCGGGGAUAACAGGCUGAUACCGCCCAAGAGUUCAUAUCGACGGCGGUGUUUGGCACCUCGAUGUCGGCUCAUCACAUCCUGGGGCUGAAGUAGGUCCCAAGGGUAUGGCUGUUCGCCAUUUAAAGUGGUACGCGAGCUGGGUUUAGAACGUCGUGAGACAGUUCGGUCCCUAUCUGCCGUGGGCGCUGGAGAACUGAGGGGGGCUGCUCCUAGUACGAGAGGACCGGAGUGGACGCAUCACUGGUGUUCGGGUUGUCAUGCCAAUGGCACUGCCCGGUAGCUAAAUGCGGAAGAGAUAAGUGCUGAAAGCAUCUAAGCACGAAACUUGCCCCGAGAUGAGUUCU